UACCAGACUCCUACGGGAGGCAGCAGUAGGGAAUAUUGCUCAAUGGGGGAAACCCUGAUGCAGCGACGCCGCGUGAGUGAAGAAGUAUUUCGGUAUGUAAAGCUCUAUCAGCAGGGAAGAAAAAAGACGGUACCUGACUAAGAAGCCCCGGCUAACUACGUGCCAGCAGCCGCGGUAAUACGUAGGGGGCAAGCGUUAUCCGGAUUUACUGGGUGUAAAGGGAGCGUAGACGGCAAUACAAGUCGGAAGUGAAAUACCCGGGCUCAACCUGGGAACUGCUUUGGAAACUGUAUGGCUGGAGUGCUGGAGAGGUAAGCGGAAUUCCAGGUGUAGGAGUGAAAUCCGUAGAUAUCUGGAGGAACAUCAGUGGCGAAGGCGACUAUCUGGCACAUAACUGACGCUGAGGAGCGAAAGCGUGGGUAGCAAACAGGAUUAGAUACCCCAGUA
This 447-nucleotide ribosomal RNA is filed under the name uncultured bacterium. Its description in RNAcentral is "partial 16S ribosomal RNA". It matches the Rfam family "Bacterial small subunit ribosomal RNA", at positions 329 to 792 of the family's 1533-position model. The record is from RNAcentral.